RNAcentral lists this ribosomal RNA (1240 nucleotides) under metagenome. RNAcentral's name for it is "bacterial LSU rRNA". It matches the Rfam family "Bacterial large subunit ribosomal RNA", at positions 1564 to 2815 of the family's 2925-position model. The record is from RNAcentral.
UGAAUACGAGACGCUAAGGCGUCGAAGUAGUGUAUGUCAUACUUCCAAGAAAUGCUUGCACUGUCAUAGAUAAAAAACGCCUGUACCAUAACCGACACAGGUGGGUAAGUAGAGUAUACUAAGGGGCGCGAGAUAACUCUCUCUAAGGAACUCGGCAAAAUAACUCCGUAACUUCGGGAGAAGGAGUGCCUUAUUCGUAAGGUUGCAAUAACAAGAUCCAAGCAACUGUUUAUCAAAAACACAGGUCUCCGCUAAGUCGUAAGACGAUGUAUGGGGGCUGACGCCUGCCCAGUGCCAGAAGGUUAAAGAAGUUGGUUAGCAAUUGCGAAGCUGAUAACUGAAGCCCUGGUGAACGGCGGCCGUAACUAUAACGGUCCUAAGGUAGCGAAAUUCCUUGUCGGGUAAGUUCCGACCCGCACGAAAGGCGUAAUGAUUUGGAUACUGUCUCGGAGAGGGGCUCGGUGAAAUAGACUUGUCUGUGAAGAUGCGGACUACCUGCACCAGGACAGAAAGACCCUAUGAAGCUUUACUGUAACUUGAAAUUGAAAUUGGACUUUAUUCGCCAGUAUAGGUGGGAGGCGUUCAUUAUAAUCUUGUGGGAUUAUUGGAGCCAUCAGUGAGAUACCACUCUUGUAAUGUUAGAUUUCUAACUUUGAAUCAUUAUCUGGUCAAAGAACAGUUUCAGGCGGGCAGUUUGACUGGGGCGGUCGCCUCCUAAACGGUAACGGAGGCGUACAAAGGUUUCCUCUGAACGGUUAGAAGUCGUAUCUAGAGUGUAAAGGCAUAAGGAAGCUUGACUGUGAGACCUACAAGUCGAGCAGGGACGAAAGUCGGUCUUAGUGAUCUGACGGUACUGAGUGGAAAGGCCGUCACUCAACGGAUAAAAGUUACUCUAGGAUAACAGGCUGAUCUCCCCCAAGAGUUCACAUCGACGGGGAGGUUUGGCACCUCGAUGUCGGCUCAUCGCAUCCUGGGGCGGUAGUACGUCCCAAGGGUUGGGCUGUCCGCCCAUGAAAGCGGUACGCGAGCUGGGUUCAGAACGUCGUGAGACAGUUCGGUCCAUAUCCGGUGUAGGCGUUAGAAUAUUAAGAGGAGCCUUCUUUAGUACGAGAGGACCGAGAAGGACAUACCUCUGGUGUACCAGUUAUCGUGCCAACGGUAAACGCUGGGUAGCUGUGUAUGGAGUGGAUAACCGCUGAAAGCAUCUAAGUGGGAAGCCCACCUCAAGAUAAGUAUUCUC